RNAcentral lists this unclassified non-coding RNA (300 nucleotides) under uncultured fungus. RNAcentral describes it as "sequence contains 5.8S rRNA gene, ITS2". Lineage: Eukaryota; Fungi. The record is from RNAcentral.
GUGAGUCAUCGAAUCUUUGAACGCACUUUGCACUCCUUUGGAGUAUGCCUGUUUGAGAAUCUAUAGUAUUCAUUUUCCCUUAGUGUCGUACUUGUACGGGGCCUAGGGAGAGAUUUGAGGCUUCCCUUUUUUCGGACUGGGUGCCUUUAAAAAUAUUGCCUGGGUUUGGUUAGAGGUGCUUGACAUCUCUUAUUAAUCUCUGCAGAAAAGUAUUUGAAUGAAACCGUGGUUUCUCGUAUGCCAAAUAUGCAGAGUUAGAGAUUAGUCUCUAGCCAAGUCUAGGUCCAUAACCAUAAAGUC